Molecule: ribosomal RNA, 493 nt
Filed under: uncultured bacterium
Lineage: Bacteria
Description: partial 16S ribosomal RNA
Rfam family: Bacterial small subunit ribosomal RNA
Source: RNAcentral
AUUGAACGCUGGCGGCAUGCCUUACACAUGCAAGUCGAACGGUAACAGGUUAAGCUGACGAGUGGCGAACGGGUGAGUAAUGUAUCGGAACGUGCCCAGUUGUGGGGGAUAACUGCUCGAAAGAGCAGCUAAUACCGCAUACGACCUGAGGGUGAAAGCGGGGGAUCGCAAGACCUCGCGCAAUUGGAGCGGCCGAUAUCAGAUUAGGUAGUUGGUGGGGUAAAGGCUCACCAAGCCGACGAUCUGUAGCUGGUCUGAGAGGACGGCCAGCCACACUGGGACUGAGACACGGCCCAGACUCCUACGGGGGGCAGCAGUGGGGAAUUUUGGACAAUGGGCGCAAGCCUGAUCCAGCCAUGCCGCGUGCGGGAAGAAGGCCUUCGGGUUGUAAACCGCUUUUGUCAGGGAAGAAACGCUCUGGGUUAAUACCCUGGGGUAAUGACGGUACCUGAAGAAUAAGCACCGGCUAACUACGUGCCAGCAGCCGCGGUAA